RNAcentral lists this long non-coding RNA (5973 nucleotides) under Mytilus galloprovincialis (Mediterranean mussel). Lineage: Eukaryota; Metazoa; Mollusca; Bivalvia; Mytilida; Mytilidae. The record is from RNAcentral.
GUGUUUCAUAAAACGUUUUAGUGAUUGGAACUUUUAAAAGCUCACCCGCAAAAUUUUGGUGAGCGAAGAAUUACAAGAUACUUUUUCAUGCGUUAAGGUAGAUCAUUUAUUUAUUUACAGUCAUCUUUAUCAAUCAGAAACAGUCUUUCUUGCCUUAGCAAAGAGGUGAAGCAGUUGUCAUGGGAUAUUUAUGGUGUUAACUUCUUGUUCACUACUUGUUCAGACACGCAUGAAUUCAAUAUUUCAAUGUUAUUCAUCUGUUCAUAUGCUUUCUGAAAUGUCAAAAUAUUUUUUCAAACACAACAGGAUUAUUUCUGUAAACCAACCAAUUAACUAUUUCAUUCAACACAUAAGUGAAAACAAGAGUAUUAUUUUUUUGGUCCUCUUUACUGUGGAAACAGGUUUCUACAAAUUUCAUAGUUUUGCCAAAACGGCAAAAGGGUAUGAUGACAUCUGGAUGAGGAUUUGCCACCGCUUCAACUCCAAUAUUCAAAUAGAUAAACACAAUCUAAUUAUCUGAUUGGUCAAUCUUCAGCUGUGAUGCAAGCAUGAAAUUAUGUAAGCUUCAACUCCAAUAUUCAAAUAGAUAAACACAAUCUAAUUAUCUGAUUGGUCAAUCUUCAGCUGUGAUGCAAGCAUGAAAUUAUGUUACAUAAUUUCAUGCUUGCAUCACAGCUGAAGAUUGACAAAUCAUGCAAGCAUGAAAUUAUGUUACAUAAUUUCAUGCUUGCAUCACAGCUGAAGAUUGACCAAUCAGAUAAUUAGAUUGUGUUUAUCUAUUUGAAUAUUGGAGUUGAAGUGGUGGCAAAUCCUCGGGUUUUACCAUAUAUAGGUACACAAACUUAAAACUCAAUUUAUUUUUUUGUUGAAUCAUUAAAAUUAAAUUUGAGAUGUUUUUUCAAAUCUCCUUAUCAUAUUAGACAUGUGUUUUAAAAAUCGUUGUGAUAUCUUUUACCGUUUGGUUUUAAAUUGGAAUUAAAAAUUGUAUUUUCCCAUAGAGUUUGAGGUAAAGUCCCGAGAAUUUCACCUCCUAGAAAUUUAAAGUGCCAGGAUGUUCGAAAAUAUGUAAUUAAUGUUGUUUGGUUGCUGUCUAAUAAAAGAACAUGUAUUGCCCACAACUCCACAUACCUCUUAUCCACCAAAUGGCUCGAAAAUCUACAAAAUAUGUUUUCUAAACAAGUUGAGAUUGACAAAAUUUAUAAAGCCUGUAUUGUAAUAUACAUAAGUUUAAAAGGGAUACAUACACGGUCAUGUGGUAUUGCUUUUUACUCAUUGUAAUCACAUUUAAAAUUUGAAAAAAUAGUUUUGGCGAAAUAGGCAAUAUUUUUGGGAAAAGAACAUGAUUAGAGAAAUGGCCUAACAGCUGAACCCUUAUAUUGCUGUUAAAACUAUUCUAUACUAUUUGAAAGGUUUUGCCUAAUAUUUCAAGAACUAUAAUAAAUAUACAUAAAUAAAAGAAGAUAUGGUAUGAGUGCCAAUGAGACAACUCUCCAUUCAGGUCACAAUUAGUAAAAUUAAACCAUUAUAGGUCAAAAUACAGUCUUCAACAUAGAGCCUUGGCUUACUCCAAACAUAAAAUUAUGUACAUGUAUACUCAUAUACUGCAACUACAAGCAACAAUAAUGUUUGGCAAUAUCAAAAUUGCAUAAUGGCAAUUGAUUGAAACAAUCUUUCUAAUCAUUUUCUAAUUCUAGUGGGAGUUUUGACCAAGGAGUUUUGACCACAUAAUAAAAUUUUGACCAAUUUUUGCUUUUCUGCUGGUUAUCUUAAAAGCACUGUUUAUAAACCUAAACUGUUAAUAGUAUAUAUAUAUGAUCAGCAAGUGUGUGUAAUGACUUAUAGAUGGCAAAAUACACAAUAAGCCUGAAACUUUUGAUUGACUGUUAAUUUGAGUUAUUCCCCUUUAAUGGUGAAUUUCAUUGGUGGUAUAGAGGUUGAAUGCUAGUCUGAAAGGUACAACAUUUGGGUAAAAAGUAUUUGAGGCUUUUCCACUUAAGCAUUGAGGAUAAAGAGCAAAAACAUGUGGGUUGUGAGGCAAAAAUAAAGAGUAACAUGGCUUCCUACUGACUGAACUACAUAUAUAUACUUUCUGUAAUUUUUUUUUUAAACAUCAUUGAUAUAAUCCUUAGUUUUACCUGUAAUUUUUAACAGUCUUACUUUUUUUCUGGAUGAUUGAGUUCGCGCCAUUUUAGCUUUCCACGUGAAGGCUAUUGCAAUGGUUGAUGCCAGAAUGAGUGUUUCUGAUGUCGUGGCUUGAUUAAAUGUACAUAAGUCAACAGUUUAGUGACUAACAAACAGAUAUCGACAAAUUGCAACUGCAUGGGAUAGGUCGAUAUUUCGUAGACCAAGAAAAACUAUCGUCAAGGGAGGAGCGCCACUUUCGCUUUUCAUCAACAAGUGCUAAGUUUUUUCCGGCCACAAGAGUAGUGCAUUGACUAAGGGCAGCUGCUGGUGUGCCUGCCAUUCCUUCAUUGAUGCACUUAGGACAUGGACGAGAAAUGGAUUUUGAAUAACACUAUACUCAUUUUCGCAUUUUGACCCUCGCGCGCUCCAUACAAAGAAAAUCCUAAUGAAUGUGAGUGAUAAACAUUCAUGAUGCUUCUGACAUGUCAUAAUUUCAUUUUUUUAUUAUUUAAAUCAUAUGUUGUUACAAUUUUGUAAUAAAAUAAAAUUUCAUAUUUUUGUUUCUAAACUUUUUUGGCUCAGUAUACAUGUAUGUAAAAAUGUAUACAUGUACUUAAAUGCACAUACAAAUUUAGUUUAGUCUGUCAGUGUUGUAAACAGACUUGAUAUUCAUAUCACAUUAAGAUGUUCUGUUGUAUACUAUGGUACAAUUAUAUAAUAAUAUCGAAAAAAAAUCCAGAAAUACUAAACCUCAUAAAUUUUUGGAAAUGUUUAGAAAUUUAUCAGUCUUUUCUGGUACCCUUUUAAAAUUCAGGAGGUGAAAAGGUUCAAGUUUUUGUUCUCUCGGUCUUUCAUUUCAUUAGUUUUUGUUUUGCUUUAUUUAAAAGGCACUUACAGUAAAGUUAAUUUGGUAAUUUAUUUUCUUUGAAACUUUUCUUUAAAGUUAAGUCAUUUUCAAAAUGUCCAAUUCAAGUAAUUGUUAGUUUAAAAGGAGACAUAAAGAAGAGUUUAUACAUUUUAAAAUUUUGUUAUUUAUGAAAUUAAAAGGUUAAGCCUUAUCAUAAAUAUACCUUUCAGUAGUGGGACCAAUGAACCAUGAAAUGGCUGUUUACUUUCAAUGAAAAAAAAAUUAUAAGAAAUUGAUGAAAGAGAUAAUAAAUACAGAAGGCAGAGAAUCUUUUGAGCGCAAUGUUAAUUUUUCGUUGGUUGUAUCUAAUUUACUUCAAGAUAUUAUUUUCAAUGCAGAAUGAUAGCUUGCUCUUUGGUCAGAUUGUUGUCUCUUUGACAUAUUCCCCAUUUCCAUUCUCACAAUAAUUUAGGAGGGGGUCUUUUAGGAAUUUGACAAAAUAUUUGUUUUUGAAAAGCAUGAGAAAUGCAGGGUAUCCAAAUUGAUUUGAUGACAUCUUUGCGUUAUUAAAUAUAAAAAUAAGUUAUAUUUGAAAAUAAAGAUUACUUAAAAUUUUAGUUAGAUAAAUAAAACAACAGUCUUCUAUUGGGUAAACAUGAAAUAACAUCUUUUUUCCAAAUUUAUUUAUGAAAUUAUAAGGUCAAACAUAACACAGAUUAAUUUAUACUGUUUAAUAGUUGUGAAGCCAGUGAAAUGAUUGUUUACUUUCAAAACUAAAAACAACUAUUAAUAAAAUAUUGAUUAUAGAGAGUAAAUGCCAAAGGAUGCAUGAUAGCUGAAUAGAGCUGUCAAGGUAGAUGUAAGCAUGACAGAAGCUGUUUGUUUUUUAACGUCAAUACCCUUGCUACUAAUAAAAAAAGGACCAGAAAACAUGGAAAAAAUUAGGGUUAUUAUUUGUUUUAUCAGAUGAAAAGCGUGAUAAUUGUUUGCUUCUGGGAAUUAUAAUGAAAUAUUAAAUGUCUUUAUUUCUAGCUAAUAUAAUUAAAUAUUAAACCUACUUUAGUUGGAAGUGUGACUAAUAAACCAUGAAAUGAUUGUUUACUUUAAAUAAAGAAAAUAAACAAAAUCUUGAUUAAAGGAAUGGUAAAUACCUGUGGAUGGAUAUUAUAGUAAACAGUAACAUGUUAGAAGUUGUUUUGUAAUGUCAAUUUCUGUGUAAUUCUAUAAGUAGCCAUUAAAGUUAUACAUAUGGUUUUAGAUUUUAUAAUUAUUGUCAAGUUUCAAGUUUUUCAAAAGAGAGGUAAAAAUAACUUUAAAGUGCAUUUAAUUUAUUAUCACUAUUUAAUUAUUUUUAAAGACUUGAAAACAGACUUAUUAAAAAAAACAGGUUUAAAAGGUUAUAUGGGAAAGCAUCCUGGUUAUGAUUGCUAGUUUGAAGUUUUUAUAUGAAUCUGUUAGCAUGGAUCUUAAUUUAGCACAGGAUCUACAUAAAAAAAGUGAUUAGCAUUUAAUGUUUGUUAUAUUAACAGCAGGUUAUACAUGUAUUAUCCAGAGACAAACUCUGGAAGGUGCCAAAUUUUCCCAGUGGACCUGCCAGAAAUUAAUGCCCAGUGUUAAUUACUUUUGUUUAUUAUUUUCAUAAUUAUUUGGCCAGUCAGUUAAGGAUUUUAUUAUAUACAUGUACACAGUGAAUACCGGUCAUGUGUUAACCUGCUCUGACAUCUUAUGAAUAUUCCUAUUGUAUUUGUGCAGGAAAUUUACACUUUAACUUUUAAGGAUAAAUGUAUGUAUUGACGAAAAAUUCUUAAAUUUAUAGUUAACAAGGUGUAAAUUUUUAUAACUAUGUGGUAAGAGUCGAAAGGUGUGCUUGGAUCCGUGCCAAACAGUUGCUGGUAUCCGAAAGACAAAUUUGCAUUUCUGUAUUCAGGUACUCGAAUCUUUUCCUUAAGGACAAUAUUUAAAAUGAUUUCGGAAUAGACGAACUAAAAGUAAUAAUUUGAAUCCAUUCUCUAAUUUAAAAGGCAUGAUUACCCUAGAAUUUAAAUGUUUCUUUAUCUUUAGUUUCACUUGCAUUUUGAUUAUUAAUCCCGUUAGAUUUUCCCUAGCAGGUAUUUUAUUGGUGAUAUUCAAUAAUCGUGUUCGAACAUGAUUUUCAAUAUAGAAAUUAUGUCCAUUUAUAGGUAAAUGGUAUUUACACCUUGCCAAUGACCGUAUUGAAUGAUUUUAAAGUGAAUAUAUCUAAACUACUGGAUGUAAAAACAUUUGCCAAACGUAAGUAAACGGGAUGAAAGAAAUUUUGAUGAAUGUUUAACAUGUCAAAUAUUUUACCAUUAUGAAAUAAUCCUGUCGUGUUAUGACUGAAUUUUAUUUAUUAUUUACAUCAAUAUUUUUACAUAUAUUGAAAUAUAUUUGUCACACAAUUAUUUGUUAAUGUUUGUCUACCUGUAAAAUGCACAUGUUUGAAAAUACAGGUAAAUGAUUUAUGUCUGAUAACUUCAUUAUUGCACAUAACACUGUUUUGGCGGUAUGUAUUUAAUUAUAAGUAUUUGCAUGUAAGCAUACACUGUUAGAGAUUGUGUAAUUUUAAUAUGUACAAUUUUAAAAUUAGAACAUGUGUUUUUAUAUUGAAUUUUAAGCUGAUUACGUCAUUAUUUUCAAAAUAUUGAGACCCUAUUACAUUCAAUGAAUUACUGGGUAUACACUUAGGCAUUUGAUAAGCUUCAUGGUUGCUAGUUUACUAUUUAAACCAACUGUUCAUGCACUAAUUAUACAAUUGUGUGAAACAAUUUAGCAUGUUUAGCCUAGAUAUUUCAUUUAUGAUUGCAUUCACAGGAGUUAGAAACAUGUUAGACUGACAACACACAAAGAAAGAUGGAGAGACGACACUCAGGAUCCCUCUCCUCUCUUUCAGGGGGGCCACGCCACCAGGCACCCCCAGGACUUCUACAGAUGGGAAACCAAAGGGGGCAGGGAUACAGAUGCAAAUUCAGCAACUAGCAAGU